GACGAACGCUGGCGGCGUGCUUAACACAUGCAAGUCGAACGGAAAGGCCCUGCUUUUGUGGGGUGCUCGAGUGGCGAACGGGUGAGUAACACGUGAGUAACCUGCCCUUGACUUUGGGAUAACUUCAGGAAACUGGGGCUAAUACCGGAUAGGAGCUCCUGCUGCAUGGUGGGGGGUGGAAAGUUUAGGCUGGUGGGGCUGGACUCGCGGCUGAUCAGCUUGUUGGUGGGGGAGUGGCUUACCAAGGCUUUGACGGGUAGCCGGCCUGAGAGGGUGACCGGCCACAUUGGGACUGAGAGACGGACCAGACUCCAACGGGAGGCAGCAGUGGGGAAUAUUGCACAAUGGGCGGAAGCCUGAUGAAGCAACGCUGCGUGCGGGAUGACGGCCUUCGGGGUGUAAACCGCUUUAGCCUGUGACGAAGCGUGAGUGACGGUAAUGGGUAAAGAAGCACCGGCUAACUACGUG
Molecule: ribosomal RNA, 468 nt
Filed under: uncultured bacterium
Lineage: Bacteria
Description: partial 16S ribosomal RNA
Rfam family: Bacterial small subunit ribosomal RNA
Source: RNAcentral